Molecule: small nuclear RNA, 163 nt
Filed under: Carlito syrichta (Philippine tarsier)
Lineage: Eukaryota; Metazoa; Chordata; Mammalia; Primates; Tarsiidae
Description: U1 spliceosomal RNA (ENSTSYG00000029474.1)
Rfam family: U1 spliceosomal RNA
About the family: U1 is a small nuclear RNA (snRNA) component of the spliceosome (involved in pre-mRNA splicing).
Source: Rfam by way of RNAcentral
AUACUUGCCUGGCAAGGGAGAUACUAUGAUAAGGAAGGUGGUUUUCCCAGGGCGAGGCCCAUCUAUUGCACUCCAGAUGUGCUGACCCUUGCAAUUUCCCCAAAUGUGGAAAACUCCACUACAUAACUUGUGGUAUGGGGGACUGCAUUCACAUUUUCCCCUG